Molecule: long non-coding RNA, 1128 nt
Organism: Suricata suricatta (meerkat)
Lineage: Eukaryota; Metazoa; Chordata; Mammalia; Carnivora; Herpestidae
Exons: 3
Source: RefSeq, a predicted model, not a curated record
AUUGGCUGAACACCACAGGAGGCAGUGGGCAAGGCGGCCCAGUGAUGCAGUUCUCAGGGACUGGCCUUCCGGGACCCAGAGCAAGGCAGAGAAGGGCAGAGAGUGGGUUUGGAAACCGGGCAAAUGGAAAGGAACCAGGAUGGACGCCCAGCAGGCCAAAGACCUUGGCGUGAGCCCAGCGGGCCCACUGCUGUGUGACAGACGCUGCUUCUCCCUCUGUGCCAGCAGGUGCCUGGCCGAGCUUCCCUGGGGAAGCUAGAGCCACCAACUCCGCACAGCUUUGCCGCUGCAACUCACUGCUCCUCUCAGAUGUCCGACAAGCAGCAUUUUGAGCAACCUGGGUGGAGGCUUUGUUCUGUGAAAUCCACAACUACAGAACCUUCCACGGGCUGACCAGUCUUGUCCUGCUGCGCCCAUACCUCCCACACACUAAAGCGGGUUAUGUAGCCUGUCGAAGUACUUCGGUCCUGAGUCCAAGAAGAAGCUUGGAAGAUGUGGUCUGGCAGAUGAAUUGUUGAAAUUCCCAGUAUCUCGUUUAUUUCGAAGACAUCAAGGAUCAUACAUUGUGAAGAUGACUAAUAUGACCAGAGUCCUUUUCACAUGGACCAGCUUUCCCCAAAGGAGUUAUGAUUUAUGAAGACUCAGGAUGGAAUGCUAAUUCAAAAGCUGCUAGCAAGACUGACUUAAGGAACACACAGAGAUCAAUAAAUAUUUGAUGUGUAUUGGGUUGAAUAGUGGUCCUCCACAAAAACAUGUGCAUGCUUGAAUCCCAGAAACCUCUGAAUGUGACUGUAUUUGUCUUUGCAAAUGCAACGAACUGAUGGAUCUUGGAAUGAAGGGAUUCUUUCACUUCUUCCUGGAUUAUCUAGGUAGCCCCUAAAUGCAGUGAUGUGUCCUUAUAAGAACGAGGCAGAUGGGCAGAUACCACAGACAGAGGAGUGGCAAAUCCAGUGACCAUGGCAGCAGCGAUUGGAGUGCGUGGCCACAAGUCAAAGAAUGUCUGCAAUCCUGGAAACUAGAGACAGGGGACACAUUCUCCCCAAGAGUUCCCAGAGGGAGCACAGUCCUGCUAGAUUUGGAACUUCUAGUCUCCAAACUGAAGGAAUAAAAGUCUCUUGUUUGAAGUCA